This 768-nucleotide ribosomal RNA is filed under the name Staphylococcus xylosus. Its description in RNAcentral is "bacterial SSU rRNA". It matches the Rfam family "Bacterial small subunit ribosomal RNA", at positions 59 to 812 of the family's 1533-position model. The record is from RNAcentral. Lineage: Bacteria; Bacillati; Bacillota; Bacilli; Caryophanales; Staphylococcaceae.
CAGUCGAGCGACGGAUAAGGAGCUUGCUCCUUUGAAGUUAGCGGCGGACGGGUGAGUAACACGUGGGUAACCUACCUAUAAGACUGGGAUAACUUCGGGAAACCGGAGCUAAUACCGGAUAACAUUUAGAACCGCAUGGUUCUAAAGUGAAAGAUGGUUUUGCUAUCACUUAUAGAUGGACCCGCGCCGUAUUAGCUAGUUGGUAAGGUAACGGCUUACCAAGGCGACGAUACGUAGCCGACCUGAGAGGGUGAUCGGCCACACUGGAACUGAGACACGGUCCAGACUCCUACGGGAGGCAGCAGUAGGGAAUCUUCCGCAAUGGGCGAAAGCCUGACGGAGCAACGCCGCGUGAGUGAUGAAGGGUUUCGGCUCGUAAAACUCUGUUAUUAGGGAAGAACAAAUGUGUAAGUAACUGUGCACAUCUUGACGGUACCUAAUCAGAAAGCCACGGCUAACUACGUGCCAGCAGCCGCGGUAAUACGUAGGUGGCAAGCGUUAUCCGGAAUUAUUGGGCGUAAAGCGCGCGUAGGCGGUUUCUUAAGUCUGAUGUGAAAGCCCACGGCUCAACCGUGGAGGGUCAUUGGAAACUGGGAAACUUGAGUGCAGAAGAGGAAAGUGGAAUUCCAUGUGUAGCGGUGAAAUGCGCAGAGAUAUGGAGGAACACCAGUGGCGAACGCGACUUUCUGGUCUGUAACUGACGCUGAUGUGCGAAAGCGUGGGGAUCAACAGGAUUAGAUACCCUGGUAGUCCACGCCGUAACGAUGA